This is a long non-coding RNA of Cercocebus atys (sooty mangabey), 5391 nucleotides long. RefSeq lists it as uncharacterized. The transcript is spliced from 12 exons. The record is from RefSeq and is a predicted model, not a curated record. NCBI's taxonomy places the organism in Eukaryota, Metazoa, Chordata, Mammalia, Primates, Cercopithecidae.
UGUUGCAGUUCUUUGAAAGCAGAAACUAAAGUUAUAUUUCCAAUGAAAACUUCCUAGUAGUUGACACAAUGUACAAAAGAUGACUUCACUAUUUUUUUUUUUAAGAAAGAGGGCUUAUAUGCUAGCGCCAACACUUACUCUUACCACAGCUGAUAUGGCCCAUGUGUGGUAGGAAAUGUAGAAACUGUUUUUAUGCUCGGUCCUGUUCUGAACAUUCCCAAUAUGCUUUUUAUAAGAUCUUCACUCCAGACCUGAGAAGAAUUCUUGAGAAGCUGCAACACUUUGUAUGGAGAGACUAGCACGGAAAAAGUUUAUUAAUCUUGAGCAGGAAGCAGUACUCAUUUCCAGAAUCAUGAGAUUGACUUGAUGAGACCUUCAUAUUGAAGAUAAAAACAAGGAAACUUUGAGUUAUCAUAGCCCAUUGUUUUCAGAAGAGUGUGUGUUUCUCAUGGGCAAAGGAAAGAAUCCAGAGUGAGAAGCUGAAGAAAGUGGGAAGUGCUAGAUUGGCGUGAUUUCAAAAGCAGGAAAAAUGACAUCAUUUGAAUGAAAGAGUGAAUAUUAGAGGAAGGCCUGACUUUGGAAGAAUCCAGUCUGAUAAAGAAGAUGAGUGUGGACACAACUAUGACAGAACCAAACUGAGCACACUCAUAGACACAGAAACACGUGCACACACGGUCUAGAGAUGCACAGCUCUGCAAGUGUUAAUUGCCACCUUUCAAGUAAAGAAAGUAAUGUCACACUCAUGAUGGAACAAUGUCUGUCCAGGAGACUCUUCCGGAGCUAACAGAGGGCACGAAUAUGAGCAGCUUGCGUAGCUAAGGCCAGGAGGAUUCCAGCAGGCAGCCAUUGCUUUGAGAGCUUUUGCCUGAGGAAGUUGUUCAGAGCUAGAAAACAGAAGCUGCUUCUCCUCCAAGCUCUGGUUUUCAUUUGCAGAAGUGAUCCUACAUUACAUUUGGCCAUCACGUCUCCCUGUACUCUUCUUGGCUGUGACAGUUUCUCAGACUUUCCUUGUUUUGAUCCCCUUGACAGUUUGAGGAGGACUGGCUAAGUAUUUUUUAGGAUGUCUCUGUAUUAACAAUUGUCUAAUGUUUUUCUCGUGAUUGAACUGGAGUUUCAAUAAUAUAUUCAAAACAAUCCUUCUCACAUCCUGCCCUUCAAAAAAAAAAAAAAAAUUCAUACCCUCAAACGUAACAAAAUCCCCCAGCCUCAACUCAGGAUGAUGUUAUGUAUCUUGUAAUUCAUUGACAAAUUUGCAAAAUGACACUAAAUACUGCAGGCUGCAGGCCUUUCCAUUAGUAACCUCACCCUAGGUACAAAUAAACAUCAUUUAAUGGAAGUUCCGUCAAUGGAGGAGGCUGAUCUUUGGCCCCCUGGGUUACAGGACGCUCUUGUUAGUUCCCUCCAGCACCUCCUCCACAUGUUGAAUUUUAAUGAGGCUGGGAAACCUGUGGGUUAGAAGUGUAUUGGUGUUAUUUCCUGUUUCCACUUCAGUUAGCCUCCCAACUUUCUGAUUUGACAUGAAUUUCGGGAGGGAAUGCAAUGUACACAACGGGAAACAAACACCUAAUUUUUUUCUUCUUUAAUAUGGCAACUUUUAAAAGACAGUGCAACUUUAAAAAUAGCAAAUAUUAUCACAUUGUGAGGAAGGAAAGUUUUUAUAAUGUACUAAGAAGUCCAAGUCACAUGAUGCUCACUGCCUAGUUUUUGUAAGCACUUUAUAAAUGCUGAGUGCAGGUGUUCACAUGCCUAAUGCCUAACCUUUACCAGGCGAGAUCAAACUCUUGUUUCUACUCCACGUGUUUCUCAUGUCCUUUGAAUACUCCACAUUUUAUAACUGAAAUCUAGGACAACCCUUUGAGUUGAGAACGAAAAAAUUAAUUUUUUUUUGUUUAACAUAAAAUAAACAUAGGUGAUUUCUUUCUUUUGUCAUUUCCCAGAUAGGCUAGGUUCUGAGACCUGGUUGCAUCUUAGCAGGAGGCCGGUGGGGAAGAAUCUGGGGAUGGAUAGAAAACUGGCAGAGCUCAUUCCCAAAGGAGAGUGUCAGUCACAUAACUUCUGCUGUCACCAAGAAAGUGGGACCAAGUCAGCCCUAAUUCAGAGAUGGUUCUAGGUGACCCACCAGAUGUUUGUGUUGGACUGACCAGUUUAUGCUGUUCUCUGCAGGAAUUGACCUGCUAGAUCACUGUCUAGCACAGAAUUACUGAGAAUCUGCCAUGUGGAAGAAAGUGCCCAGGAACUGGAAAUCCAGCACUGAACGGAAAGACAUCCCUCAUGGAGCUUGCAUUUUAGGAGAGAGCUAUAUAUACUGCCGCCUUCUCCGUGAGAGGUCAGAGCUUUGAAAACAACACUGAAUGACUGAAUCUAAUACCAACGUAUUGAAUUGAAAUAGCUCAGUUACCCUGGGAAAAGCCAGCCUGCACAUUGUGAAGGCACCAAAGCUGACUGCACAGAGAUGACAGGAAGAGAAACUGAGGCUUCCCAUCAACAGCCAACACCAACUUGCCAGCCAUAUAAGUGAGACAUAGUAAAAACAGAUCCAUCAGAUGGUUAGGUCUUCAAAAAACUGCAGCUUUGCCAACCUUGCAAAAAACCCUGGAUCAGAACCAUUCAGAUAAGCCACUCCCAAAUAUGCAGGCUACUAUAGUAGUUAUUCAUUGAUGCAUACCCAAUUAUUCCAAAAUGUAGUGGCUUAAAGAAAUAAACACUUUCCCCCUAGUGUCUGUGAAACAGGAAUUUAUGAGGGGGUUAACUGGGUGUUACUGGCUAAGGUGUCUGAUAUCGCAGUUAAGAUAUUGGUUGGGGCUGUGGUCACCUGAAGGCUUGACUGGAACUGGGUGAUCUGCUUCCAAGAUGGCUCCCUCAUGUGGAUGUUAAGGAGACCUCAGUUCCUCACUGACUAGUGGCAGGAAAACUUGAUUUCUCCCUACGGAUCCCUCUUCAGGCUGCUGGAGUGUCUCACAAUAUGGUAGCCAGUUUCUCCCAGGAGAAGGAAUCCAAGAGAGGGGAAAAUAUGGAAACAAUGACGUCUUUUAUGACCUAACGUUGGGAGUCACGUGUUGUCUUUUCCAUAUAAUCUAACUGGCUGCACAUGUCAGUCAUAGUCAACGUAAGUGUGGACUGCAGAAGGGUGUGAAAACUAGGAAGUGGGAAUCUCUGUAAGCCAUCCUGGAAGCUGGAUAUCACAGUAGGGUAAUGAAUGGUUGUUACUGAUUUAUGCCACUAAAUUUUGUGGUAAUUUAUUAUGCAAUCACAGAUAGCUAAUAUACAAACAGACCAAUAUGGAAUAUUUGGUUAUUCUUAAUGAUUCGAAGUGAAGAAUGUUAGUGCUGCCGCCUGCUCUAUCCAUGAAGCCUCAGGAGAUGUUGUGGACCAGAAGGGUGCACACUCGAUCCUGUUUCCAUACAGCUCUCUAAUUGAAGUAGUGUCCUGAGAACCCCAGCAUCUCUGGAACUGGUUUGGAAUCCCAGCAGCUGGUACUGGGACAUAAAUCUUGGCAAUUUAUUAGCUAUUUUUAUUCACUAUUUUCUACUUUUUUAUAAUUCAGGUUUUACGGUUUUGCCUACGUUCCAAUCUUGAGACGUAAACCUUUGUGUUCCUUCUGGUAAACAAAUACCUUGUGUCCUUAGAAAAAGCUUUUUACACCCUGCCUUUUCGUAUAUAAAAAAUACUGGGUUUGUUUCCUACUCAGACUUUAUUUGGAACACUAUAAUUUAAAUCAGUCUCCCCAGAUAGAAGCAUAGAAAAAGAAGAUUGGGGAAGUACAGCGUGUUGUUUCCAACAAGGUGGAAAAUUCAUCUGAAAUGACAGAAAUCCUGGGUAAUGACGAAUCUCUGAGGAUUCCUGUGUCACAGCAAACUAGCUGAUUGGUCUGUGCAAUUGAGCUAUAGCAUAAUAUCAAUACUUACACUCCCUUUUGAAUUGAAAAUGAGGCAAUUAAAAGUUACUAAAUCCCUUGUUUUGAAUUGCUUCUGGUCCCUUUGGGUUUACCAUAGCCCAGUUUUGUGCCUUUCAUUUUGAGAAGUCCUGUCUUGCAAAUUUGAAAGUCUGUAGACUCUAUUUUGAAAUGGGCUUUAUUCCAAAAAUAGGUUUUACUUUAUUAUUUUCCACUGCCUCUGGGGAUAUUUUGACAAAAAUGGCAAAACCCAAAGACUUCCUGAAGGCUAAUCUUUUUUCUGGGUCAUAUGAUUCUUUUCAGUUUUCAUCUGGAGAGGGUUUUAUGAUAACAAUAGGUUUGACUGUUGGUGAACUGGAGAAAAUCCUGUUGCUUUAGAGUUAACAAUGAGUGGAAUUUCAGUGCAGUAUGGUUAUUUGCUUAAUACAAUAGAAGUUGGUGCAGACUGGACUUGCAAAUGUCAAAUAGACUGUGUGGGAAAAUCUAUAUCACUGCAACUGAGUCAACAAACAGUUCUGAAUGCAGAAAUGCUGACAGGACUGUAGCAAGCAAUUUGGUCAACUUCAAUUCAUGUCCAAAGUUAAGCUGGAUUAAAAAGAUGCCUGUGAAGAAAUGGUUAAAUAUUAAAAACAGCAGGGAUCUUAAAACCAAGAGGGGAAGAGAAAGAGGAGUCAGUGAAAUGAAACAUUAGAAACACAAAACAAUAUGCAAUUAAUAAUACCUGUCUCAGAGGCAGGCUUAUUAUAAGGUGGAAGCCACAAAAGAAAAAAUGAUCAAAGCAGCAGCUGAAGUCGUCCAGCUCGUUACUCACAUGCAUCAUGAAGUGUAAAACAGUGAUUAGAUGACAGAAGGAUACUCUAUCUUCCAAUAUUUUUAAACUUCUAGCUCUGUUGGGUAAACAGUUUCCAAAUGGACAUGAAUUCACUUGAGCCUGAUGCGUCUUAGUUUAUUGGCCAGACAUAGGAUUUCAGAUAUGAAUUGAAUAAAUCACUGCCUUACAUCACGUAGUUUUCCAGCCCAGCAAUACUCAAGAGCAUCUGGGUCAAGGGCAAGUUCUGGAGUAGGAGUUGGAAAGCAGAGGUUCUGGGUUGCCUGGGCAAUCUGGGACAGGUCAAUUUAAUUCCAUGAGCCCCAGUUUCCUUAUUGACACAAUACAAGUAUCAGUUCUUUACCUACCUGAUUCACAAGGUUGUUGGGAAGGUGUCAAAUGUAAUUACACACACACACACACACACACACACGAAAGCAUGUUAGCAUCCUUAAAGAGCAGGAUUCAGCAUAUUGUCUAUGAGCAAAAUGAAAAUAAAUAUAACAAAUUCUAAUGUUUACAGUAAGUAGUAUUGCUGUCCUUAUGAGUCAAAUGAUGUCAUUAUGUCAAAUGAUGUCAUUUGUCAAAGGACAAACAGGUAGAAAGGAGUGGAUCCGAGUCAAAUUAGAUUUUGGGACUCCAAAGUGCAAGCUGUUAAUCACCAUUCUAAAACAUGGGAUGGAGGAAGGGA